Molecule: ribosomal RNA, 497 nt
Filed under: uncultured bacterium
Lineage: Bacteria
Description: partial 16S ribosomal RNA
Rfam family: Bacterial small subunit ribosomal RNA
Source: RNAcentral
GAUGAACGCUGGCGGCGUGCCUAAUACAUGCAAGUCGAGCGAACAGACGAGGAUCUUGCUCCUCUGCCGUUAGCGGCGGACGGGUGAGUAACACGUGGAUAACCUACCUAUAAGACUGGGAUAACUUCGGGAAACCGGAGCUAAUACCGGAUAAUAUAUUGAACGGCAUGGUUCAAUAGUGAAAGACGGAUUUGCUGUCACUUAUAGAUGGAUCCACGUCGCAUUAGCUAGUUGGUAAGGUAACGGCUUACCAAGGCAACGAUGCGUAGCCGACCUGAGAGGGUGAUCAGCCACACUGGAACUGAGACACGGUCCAGACUCCUACGGGAGGCAGCAGUAGGGAAUCUUCCGCAAUGGGCGAAAGCCUGACGGAGCAACGCCGCGUGAGUGAUGAAGGUCUUCGGAUCGUAAAACUCUGUUAUUAGGGAAGAACAAAUGUGUAAGUAACUAUGCACGUCUUGACGGUACCUAAUCAGAAAGCCACGGCUAACUACGUG